UGCAAAAUCAACCCACAGGACAUCAAAAUCUGAAGCACUAAAUGAUCAGUAUCGGUGCCAGAAGGAGCACUGACAUGUAAGAAAGGGGAAAACAAAGGUGUGAUCCCCAGGUGUAGCCUACAGAUGACUGAACCCCACAGCUGGCAGCCAGCAAACAACCCCAGGAACUCCCACAGGCUUAGCCAAAGUGUCUGAAGACCACACUUACUCAGCCUACAAACUUCAUGGCUUCAUCCUAGCACAGUCAACGCUUCCUGGGUAUCAAGCUUCAAUUCAAGGAUAUUUCACCAAAGGAGCUGAGCUUGGCUGGAAAAAGAAUUGCACGUCCUGCAGCUUCGCGGGUCAGAUCACUGAUUGGUACGAAUGGCACUUCUCUGUCAGCUCCAGAAACAUCUGUCACCCCAGGAUGUGCUCCCCUGCUGGGCUGCAGCUUAUGAGGCCAGCAACAGAGCAAGUGGGAAGACCUUUUAACAUUCUGUAUAAAGCUGGGAGCAAACUGAGCACACGAGAACCAAAAAUCUCCAAUGGGGCAAAGAUUUUCGGACGUGUUUAAGUGGCAUUGUAUGUGCUGUGGUUCAUUUUUGCUCUUAAUACUUUGAUACAGCUGUAAUGUUUCUUUCAACUCCCAAAGACAAAUUACAGCAUAUAAAAGACCAUGAGGUUACGCUUUGGUUCUGAGAUAGUCAUAUUAAUAUAUUAUGAAGGCAUUGUAACAAGUAUUAGUAUUUUCGUGAAUCACCAUCUAAGGUCAGUAGAAAAUAUGUAUAAUUUGCAAAUUCGUUUUAGAUACAAUGUAAGAAAGUAAGUAGGGUGGGGUAAUUACAGGGCUUGCUGAUGCUGGAGACAAGCUGCAGAGAGACAUUGCUCAGCUUGCCUAUCAGAGCAGGCCCUGAGGAAGCAGGUGAGGAGGAAGGUUAUAAACAGUGGGAGCAGGGCAUUAGGAAGCCCUGAGAGUUCUCUGGUCCAGAGGAGCAUUUUGUGAGGUCUUGUUCCAGAGCUGUUUUCCCUAGGGGGACCACGGACACAAUAAAUAGUACAGUAUUUUUAGCUGCAAACUAAAAUGAUGCAGUUCUGUGAAAUUUAGCUCUAAGUGCUUAUUCCCGCACUCUUAAACCUUACUGAAUAGACAGAUGAGGACGAAAAAGUGCAACCUGUAGCAUCACAUCCUGCCUGUCCCGUCGUGAAUGACCAACCCCCUCAGUACAAAAUGCAGUCGUGUUUGUCUCUUCCACCUUGAAUCUACCGGAUUACUUUAAAGCAGCUUACAACGGCUUGUUCUGACCCUUCUAAGGCCAACUACCACAGUUCUAAUACCUCGGCUCUGUUUCCAGUCUGGUUCAUAGUUGAGUGGUAUGAAGAGCAGUCCGUAGACAAACUGCAAAUAAAUGCCUCUGUCCACUGAGCGGUGACCUUGCUAAAUUACAGCAGGUAUCCUGAACAUCUGUGCCGCAGCCUUCUCUUACUGCAGUAUGAUAGGAACAUGCAUUAACUCUGGAGGAUUGAUCUCAAAAAACUGGCACAGAAAGGGCACUUCAAUGAGAAAAUUAAUAAUUCUUUACUCUGAUUAUGAUGAUUAAUUCUGUUACGUCAGCAGCCUUUGGCAGAGCCAAUGACAGCAACAGAUUUCAUACGGGGAAAAAACCUAAUUCAGGAGCCAAGAACAUUAAAAUGGAAUUUUGUGCAGUUAAGCAAUGAUAUUAACAAAUUGCACACAAGCAGCAAUAAUUUAAAUAUGUUCAGAAAGGCACUUUUGUUUCUUGGUCCUAUAUAAGACAUUGCAGUCAUGUAAGAUUAUUUUGUAUUUGAUAUAUUUGCCAAGCUAAAAAGUGAUUGUUUCUGGAACUGACCACUGGCAGAUGGACUCAACUGUGGAAGUUUUUGGACCACAUGAAGCUGAUCACAAACUCUAUCUCAGGUGCCAGUUUCACAAACUGGUUACCACUGCUGGACUAGCAAGCGCCCUGUUUCCAUCUCUUCAACUUUGGUUACGCAGCCAAGACUAAUCAAGCCCCCUGUCAGGUACAGAAUACAAGACGGGCAGGUCUUUGCUAGUAUAUAAACCUAGCUGUCAUUUUUCUGAAGAGGAGCUGGCUUUUAGGCACUGUAUUUGCUGGUUUCCUCUCAGCUUCUGAAGGCAAGCACUUAAAAAGCAGUGAUCUGUUGCUCCCUCCCUAACGCAGUUUGUAUUCUUUCAGUUGUCAUAAACAAGUUGCCUUGUUUGUCAGUUUGUUUUUCUUUCGAAUGCACUCCAACUCACGUCUUUUAUGCAUUCAGUGUGAGGGCCAGAUUCCUCAGUACUGCUUUGUUAGGAAACACUCAUUUGGCAAUCCUAACAUUAAAAAUUAUCCUCAGUAGGAUAUGCUCUAUCAAGCCAUGACCUUAGCUGUUUGAGUGAGAAACAACAGAAAAAGUUUAAGAGAUCAUUCUGUUGUUGGUUCAGAUGUUUGACAGAUUGCAAGGACUAGUUCCUUUGCACUCAAGCAUGGCAUUUAGGAAACUGGAGUAAUGCUUUAGAUAGCUGCCUUUUUAUCUUCUCGAUCUGUCUGCUGUUCAAGUCACUAUCUUCUCAGUGUUCCCCUGCAGGAGGAAACUAAAAGUGAGUACGCUGACUUAGAAUCAUUUUAAACACUUGUGCAAGCAUUGCCACCUCAGCUCAGGCAUGCCGAUGACUUGUCUUGUACAUCUGCACCGAACCACAGACACUUGUGUUUUCAGCUUAUCAAUUCAUACAUAGGGUUUGUUUCCCAUUUCUUUCAUACUAUGUGCAAGAAAGUGAGCUGAAUGCUACGCACUGAAUAAAGCAGUCUCCUUUUGAUCUAAUGAGAAAUUGUGCAGACUUUAAAUGGCACCAACACUCAUGUUGCAGUAAAACUUUUGAUUAUCUGGGGAGCGCUUGUAAUGAUUUCAAAUUAACCCCACUGAUUUCUUUCUUGUACUAAAAACUACCAGAAAGAU
Long non-coding RNA from Lagopus muta (rock ptarmigan), 2955 nucleotides. RefSeq lists it as uncharacterized. Lineage: Eukaryota; Metazoa; Chordata; Aves; Galliformes; Phasianidae. The record is from RefSeq and is a predicted model, not a curated record. The transcript has 3 exons.